RNAcentral lists this ribosomal RNA (484 nucleotides) under uncultured bacterium. RNAcentral describes it as "partial 16S ribosomal RNA". It matches the Rfam family "Bacterial small subunit ribosomal RNA", at positions 29 to 523 of the family's 1533-position model. The record is from RNAcentral.
AGUGAACGCUGGCGGCGUGCUUAACACAUGCAAGUCGAACGAGAACGGGUUAUAGCUUGCUAUAACUGUCAGCUAAGUGGCGCACGGGUGAGUAAUGUAUAGGUAAUAUGCCUCUUACUAAGGGAUAACAAAUGGAAACGUUUGCUAAUACCUUAUACUCCUUAUUAACAUAAGUUAAUAAGGGAAAGAUUUAUUGGUAAGAGAUUAGCCUGUAUUGUAUCAGUUAGUUGGUGGGGUAAUGGCUUACCAAGACUAUGACACAUAACUGGUUUGAGAGGAUGAUCAGUCACACUGGAACUGAGACACGGUCCAGACUCCUACGGGAGGCAGCAGUGGGGAAUAUUGCACAAUGGACGAAAGUCUGAUGCAGCAACGCCGCGUGGAGGAUGACACAUUUCGGUGCGUAAACUCCUUUUAUAUGAGAAGAUAAUGACGGUAUUAUAUGAAUAAGCACCGGCUAACUCCGUGCCAGCAGCAGCCGCAG